RNAcentral lists this ribosomal RNA (996 nucleotides) under uncultured bacterium. Its description in RNAcentral is "bacterial SSU rRNA". It matches the Rfam family "Bacterial small subunit ribosomal RNA", at positions 355 to 1375 of the family's 1533-position model. RNAcentral also lists the same sequence under 1 other name. The record is from RNAcentral.
UGGGGGAUAUUGGACAAUGGGGGCAACCCUGAUCCAGCGACGCCGCGUGAGGGAAGAAGGUUUUCGGAUUGUAAACCUCUGUUGACGGAGAAAAAAAUGAUGGUAUCCGUUUAGAAAGCCACGGCUAACUACGUGCCAGCAGCCGCGGUAAUACGUAGGUGGCAAGCGUUGUCCGGAAUUACUGGGUGUAAAGGGAGUGUAGGCGGGAUAUCAAGUCAGAAGUGAAAAUUACGGGCUCAACUCGUAACCUGCUUUUGAAACUGACAUUCUUGAGUGAAGUAGAGGCAAGCGGAAUUCCUAGUGUAGCGGUGAAAUGCGUAGAUAUUAGGAGGAACACCAGUGGCGAAGGCGGCUUGCUGGGCUUUUACUGACGCUGAGGCUCGAAAGCGUGGGGAGCAAACAGGAUUAGAUACCCUGGUAGUCCACGCCGUAAACGAUGAUUACUAGGUGUGGGGGGAUUGACCCCUUCCGUGCCGGAGUAAACACAAUAAGUAAUCCACCUGGGGAGUACGACCGCAAGGUUGAAACUCAAAGGAAUUGACGGGGGCCCGCACAAGCAGUGGAGUAUGUGGUUUAAUUCGACGCAACGCGAAGAACCUUACCAGGUCUUGACAUCAAGUGACCGCCUAAGAGAUUAGGUUUUCCCUUCGGGGACACAAAGACAGGUGGUGCAUGGUUGUCGUCAGCUCGUGUCGUGAGAUGUUGGGUUAAGUCCCGCAACGAGCGCAACCCUUAUCAUUAGUUGCUACGCAAGAGCACUCUAAUGAGACUGCCGUUGACAAAACGGAGGAAGGUGGGGAUGACGUCAAAUCAUCAUGCCCUUUAUGACCUGGGCUACACACGUACUACAAUGGCGUUUAACAAAGAGAAGCAAAGCCGCGAGGCAGAGCAAAUCUCCAAAAAACGUCUCAGUUCGGAUUGUAGGCUGCAACUCGCCUACAUGAAGUCGGAAUUGCUAGUAAUCGUAGGUCAGCAUACUACGGUGAAUACGUUCCC